Molecule: transfer RNA, 62 nt
Filed under: Mengenilla australiensis
Lineage: Eukaryota; Metazoa; Arthropoda; Insecta; Strepsiptera; Mengenillidae
Description: tRNA-His
Source: RNAcentral
AAUUUAUAAUAUUUAUAUAACUUUAAUAUCACAAAUUAAUAUUUUUUUUAAACUAUAUAAAU